Molecule: ribosomal RNA, 406 nt
Filed under: uncultured bacterium
Lineage: Bacteria
Description: partial 16S ribosomal RNA
Rfam family: Bacterial small subunit ribosomal RNA
Source: RNAcentral
AUUGAACGCUGGCGGCGGGCCUAAUACAUGCAAGUCGAACGGGUAGCGGACGGGUGAACAAUUUCUGGGAAACUGCGUGACGUAGCGGUAAAACUACUGUAAACGGUAGAUACUACUGCUAAACAUCCUAUCUGCCCUGGUGGGAUUAGCUAGUAGGGGUGGUAAAGGCUCACCAAGGCGACGAUGCCUAGCUGGUCCGAGAGGGUGACCAGCCACACUGGAACUGAGACACGGUCCAGACUCCUACGGGAGGCAGCAGUGGGGAAUAUUGCGCAAUGGGCGCAAGCCUGAUGCAGCCAUGCCGCGUGUAUGAAGAAGGCCUUCGGGUUGUAAAGUACUGUCGGCGGGGAGGCGUUACCCAAAGAGGAAGCAACGGCUAACUCCGUGCCAGCAGCCGCGGUAAUAC